Long non-coding RNA from Oncorhynchus kisutch (coho salmon), 1014 nucleotides. RefSeq lists it as uncharacterized. NCBI's taxonomy places the organism in Eukaryota, Metazoa, Chordata, Actinopteri, Salmoniformes, Salmonidae. The record is from RefSeq and is a predicted model, not a curated record. The transcript has 3 exons.
ACAGCUCAGAUUCCACCUCCUUUUGUGGGCAGUGUGCACAUAGCCUGUCUUCUCUUGAGAGCCAGGUCUGUCUGUGGCGGCCCCUCUCGAUAGCAAGGCCGUGCUCACCGAGUUUGUACGUGGUCGCAGAAAGAAGAACAAGCUCCAGAUGGCUGUGUGGGAGGUGUCGUCCAUGGUCACAAGGCACUUGGAGAAGUCAGAGAGGCGCUUCUUCGAGGAGGAGUUGAGGUGGUCCCAGAAAGAAGAACAAGCUCCAUAUGGCUGUGAGGGAGGUGUCGUCCAUGGUCAAAACACAUUUGGAGGAGUCCGAGAGGCACUUCAAGGAGGAGUUGAAGUGGGACGCUGAAUGAAAAGCAUGAAAAAAGAGAAACCUAACAACCGACUUACAGAAUUCACAGAGGGAGAAGCUAAUGCAGAUGGGCACCAUAUAGGCUAACAUGUUGAAAUAUCUUUCAACAGCCAACACAACUUCAACCACCUUCUAUGUACAGGUGCUAUUUACCUUCCCCAGGGCUGCCGCUUCACUCAGCCACCACCCAUUUCAAUUACCAACUAUAUGUAAAAAUGUAUGCACCAAAGGCUAAGUCGCUUUGGAUAAAAGUGUUUGCUAAAAAGUAUAUUUCUUUCUAAGCCGAGGGGUUCUUCAAACUCUAUGAAUUUUUUUUAAACGGUCAUACCAAGGAUCAUUUUGCUCAUUGUUUUUGAAUUUUAAGACCCCUUGAAGGAUCCCAAAAAUAUGCAAAAAGUUUUAGGAAAUUUUUUAUUUUGCCUUGGUGCUAUUGGCCCAUACAAACACAUUGAAUAACAGACUCAUGACAUGGAACAACGGAUAGUCCCCACCCCCAAAGGACGUUUGUUCUGAAGUCUGUUUUAAAUUAUUAUUAUUUUUUUUACAUGUAUUUAACCCCUUUUUUGGCACAAAACAGUCUCCAUAUAUAGGGUACUAGGGGGUAAUUAGCCCCCACUAAGAACAAUGUCUAAUUGCUGACACCAAAAAGCAACAUUUGGGAUUUU